UAAAUAUCCAACAAAGAAGUUUAAAAUGGGGAGUGGUGGGAUCCAACUGGCUUUUGUAAAACAGUAACUGCCCUCACAUGAAGCAAGAAGCAGAAACGAUAAGGCAGAGCCAAGGCCCUGUUGGCAGCAAUGCAGGCAGACUGAUUGUGCCUCUCCCUGCAACACCCGCACCCAGUGACUUCAGUCUGGAUGGUUUCAGAUGCAAGUAACAGAACACGCGGCCUCCAACAAUAAGCAUGUUUGUGGAAGAGCAAAAAGGGAAAAGAAAAAAAUGUGAGAGAAUGAAAAGAUGAAAAUAAAGUGUUUAUAGAUGGGGAGGGGAGGAGGGGGUGAAGGGAGGGCAGAGGUAAGGGGAAAAAAUGAGAAUCAAGACUUGUCAUGUAGAGGUACAAAAUCCCAACAAUGAAUGUAACUGCACUGUAUC
Molecule: long non-coding RNA, 424 nt
Filed under: Fukomys damarensis (Damara mole-rat)
Lineage: Eukaryota; Metazoa; Chordata; Mammalia; Rodentia; Bathyergidae
Description: lncRNA (ENSFDAG00000032620.1)
Source: RNAcentral